UAAAUAUCUUAUAAAGAUGUUGUUUCUCCACCAAUAAUAUCCAUGAUUUAUUUGUCAUAUUAAGAACAUUUUAGUUUUGACCUUUGAAAACUUUAAUUGUUUGACUUGAUUUUAAAUUUGAAUUUGAAUCAUUUUUGAACCAUCGCGAGAUUAGCAACUAUAAUCGAGGUGACGGGGCAUCACUAGCAGAGGAUCACUGUAGCUUAAUUACCCGGGCGUCACACUGACAGAGUGUAUGAGCAGUGAAUAAAAUAGAGGAGUGGCCUGUUCACCGGAGCAAGCGAGGAAGAUAGCUCAGCCCGACCACCAACGUCCACUCACCGGUUUCUUUGAUGCCUCGACCUCGAGCUGCAUCAGCUCGUUGAUAUGUGAUGGACAUCUCCCAGCAGUCCCUCGAUUGCCAGGCCACCGCGCCCGACCUCGACAAGGCGUUCGGAUGGUUGUGAGGCAGGUGCUGCUGUACCAGCGGUGCUGCUAUGUUGCUCUGCCCUCAACCAUCCAAAUCAUUUCUACCAGACCCAAUCUUCCACUGCCAUCUCAUACAUAUGCAGGUACUAUCCAGUAUCUAUGCACGAGCUACCGAGCGUGAGUGUGGCCAUCACCCAGGAGCAGGAAGAAGAUGGUUUAAUAUAUUGGUGUCAGAGCGCUUGUUGCAAUAACCGUCAAAUCUUGAUUGUAUUAUAUUGAUCAGACCAAGCACUUUUUGGAUAAAUUAGCAUGAAGUGAUCAGGAGCAGAGAAAUAUAUAUGUCUUGAAGAAAUGGAUAUAUAUGGUUUUAAGGUUACAUGAAGAUAUAUAUGUCUGGAUCAAGUUGAGUACUGAGGGAAUUGCUUGAACCUGGCAUCGAAGGGUGAAGAAUAUGAGCAUCCGGAGUAUAUCAUUCGCAAGAGCUUGAAAGGUAUUGUCACUGGGGCACUGAAGUGAAGCUCUAUCAGCACCAUGUGAACAAGUUGUUUGCCAUGUUCCGCCGCAGAAAAACAGAUAUCAAAUACUAUGUCUGCACCAUCAGCAAAACAUUUGCAAAGCUAGGCCAACCGAUGUAUUUUCAGGUCAACUACACUGAAAGAAAACUAAAUGAUUACAUUGACCCAGAUUAUGAUACGCUCAAGGUCAGGCUUGCAAACAGUGAUCUACAAGCCAAUUGCCGCAUCAUGCUAGGAACCGACAAGAGAGCCAUUGUAACAAUCAACCGGUCUGAGUUCCGUUGCCUUGCAAAAAUCCAUGGAGACAUCUCUGCCUUUCGUUUCAAGGUCACCACAAAGCAGCGCCGGGUUCUCAUGGUGCAUUUUUGUCGUGGUGACUACUCUCAGCCAGAUAUGUAUAGACUUUAGUCCUCCCUUGCUGUCUCUAUGGUGAAAAGUAGUCUACGAUCUUUAGAUUUUAUUGUUGUCUCUAUGGUCAAAAGCGGUUUACCAUCUCUUAUUGUAUAUAUGUGAAGGACUCCUCUUCUACUGUUGUUUCCAGAA
Long non-coding RNA from Triticum aestivum (bread wheat), 1466 nucleotides. RefSeq lists it as uncharacterized. The transcript is spliced from 7 exons. The record is from RefSeq and is a predicted model, not a curated record. NCBI's taxonomy places the organism in Eukaryota, Viridiplantae, Streptophyta, Magnoliopsida, Poales, Poaceae.